RNAcentral lists this ribosomal RNA (397 nucleotides) under uncultured bacterium. RNAcentral's name for it is "partial 16S ribosomal RNA". It matches the Rfam family "Bacterial small subunit ribosomal RNA", at positions 523 to 918 of the family's 1533-position model. The record is from RNAcentral.
AUACGUAGGGGGCAAGCGUUAUCCGGAUUUACUGGGUGUAAAGGGAGCGUAGACGGAAGGCCAAGUCUGAUGUGAAAGCCCGCGGCUCAACUGCGGGACUGCAUUGGAAACUGGUCAUCUGGAGUGCAGGAGGGGUAAGCGGAAUUCCUAGUGUAGCGGUGAAAUGCGUAGAGAUUAGGAGGAACACCGGUGGGGAAGGCGGCUUCCUGGGCUGUAACUGGCGUUGAGACUCGAAAGCGUGGGGAGCGAACAGGAUUAGAUACCCUGAUAGCCCACGCCGUAAACGAUGAAUACUAGGUGUCGGGUUUCAAUAGAGAUUCGGUGCCGCAGCAAACGCAAUAAGUAUUCCACCUGGGGGGUACGUUCGCAAGAAGGAAACUCAAAUGAAUUGACGGGG